Molecule: long non-coding RNA, 247 nt
Filed under: Trifolium pratense (red clover)
Lineage: Eukaryota; Viridiplantae; Streptophyta; Magnoliopsida; Fabales; Fabaceae
Description: long non-coding RNA (TPRA_LNC010580)
Source: RNAcentral
GUUACUCUUCAUCUUCUUCAAUGCUACUGUCUUCUCCCUCCUCUCUUUUUCAACAAAAUUCCGCCACCGCGCCGUCGUGACAGCCCAUCGUUAGGCAACAGACUGAAGUUCCAUCUUCUUCUUUACACAAUAUCACUGUUCAUCUUCCUUAUUAGAUCAUUCACUGCAAAUUGCAAAUAAAAACUAUCUAAGAAAACUUCAACAAAGUGUUGAACAACCAAUUCAACCUCUCGCCUUCUUGCUGCCA